RNA transcript from Bubalus bubalis (water buffalo), 1211 nucleotides. It is a transcript of the gene named tetraspanin 17, with no coding region annotated. Lineage: Eukaryota; Metazoa; Chordata; Mammalia; Artiodactyla; Bovidae. The transcript is spliced from 9 exons. The record is from RefSeq and is a predicted model, not a curated record.
CGGGGCCCGACGGGCUCUCUGUGUGGCCGCGGCCAUGAAGCCGCAGCCGCCGGGCUAGGCCCCGGGCGGCUCUAGCCCAGGGCGGCCCGCGGAGGGCUGGGCCCAGCCUCCGGGCCCGGUUCCCGGGCCGGCGUGCGGCCACUCACCAUGCCCGGCAAGCACCAGCACUUCCAGGAACCCGAGGUCGGCUGCUGCGGGAAAUACUUCCUGUUUGGCUUCAACAUCGUCUUCUGGGUGCUGGGGGCCCUGUUCCUGGCCAUCGGUCUCUGGGCCUGGAGUGAGAAGGGCGUUCUCUCCAACAUCUCAGCACUGACAGAUCUGGGAGGCCUUGACCCUGUGUGGCUGUUUGUGGUGGUUGGAGGCGUCAUGUCCGUGCUGGGCUUUGCCGGCUGCAUUGGGGCCCUCCGGGAGAACACCUUCCUGCUCAAAUUUUUCUCCGUGUUCCUUGGCCUCAUCUUCUUCCUGGAGCUGGCAACAGGGAUCCUGGCCUUCGUCUUCAAGGACUGGAUUCGAGACCAGCUCAACCUCUUCAUCAACAACAAUGUCAAGGCCUAUCGGGACGACAUUGACCUCCAGAACCUCAUUGACUUUGCUCAGGAAUACUGGUCUUGCUGCGGAGCCCGAGGGCCCAACGACUGGAACCUCAAUAUCUACUUCAACUGCACUGACUUGAACCCCAGCCGGGAGCGCUGCGGGGUCCCCUUCUCCUGCUGCGUCAGGGACCCAGAGGAGGAUGUCCUCAACACUCAGUGUGGCUACGACGUCCGGCUCAAACUGGAGCUGGAGCAGCAGGGCUUCAUCCACACCAAAGGCUGCGUGGGCCAGUUUGAAAAGUGGCUGCAGGACAACCUGAUUGUUGUGGCAGGGGUCUUCGUGGGCAUCGCCCUUCUCCAGAUCUUUGGCAUCUGCCUGGCCCAGAACCUCGUCAGCGACAUCAAGGCAGUGAAGGCCAACUGGUGAGGCUGCCACACUGGCCAUGGCCAUUCGCCUGGCUGACCCAGGGACCCUCCACUCUGCCCAUAAUGGGCAAGGCUGCAGGAGGUGUUUCUGCUUGGACCUGAACCCCACAUGGGGCUCGCGGGCCACUGCACUGUGCGCCCAUGGAGAGCCGCAUGGCUCUGCCCGGCUGCCUGUCCUGGAGCUGUGUGUAUGGAGGGAUCAAAUAUGAUGACGGCUACAAACUACUCAAAUAAACAAAUCCUUGAAAACCA